This 484-nucleotide ribosomal RNA is filed under the name uncultured bacterium. RNAcentral's name for it is "partial 16S ribosomal RNA". It matches the Rfam family "Bacterial small subunit ribosomal RNA", at positions 30 to 507 of the family's 1533-position model. The record is from RNAcentral.
AUUGAACGCUGGCGGCAGGCCUAACACAUGCAAGUCGAGCGGAUGAAGGGAGCUUGCUCCUGGAUUCAGCGGCGGACGGGUGAGUAAUGCCUAGGAAUCUGCCUGGCAGUGGGGGAUAACGUCCGGAAACGGGCGCUAAUACCGCAUACGUCCUGAGGGAGAAAGGGGGGGAUCUUCGGACCUCACGCUAUCAGAUGAGCCUAGGUCGGAUUAGCUAGUUGGUGGGGUAAAGGCCUACCAAGGCGACGAUCCGUAACUGGUCUGAGAGGAUGAUCAGUCACACUGGAACUGAGACACGGUCCAGACUCCUACGGGAGGCAGCAGUGGGGAAUAUUGGACAAUGGGCGAAAGCCUGAUCCAGCCAUGCCGCGUGUGUGAAGAAGGUCUUCGGAUUGUAAAGCACUUUAAGUUGGGAGGAAGAGCAGUAAGUUAAUACCUUGCUGUUUUGACGUUACCAACAGAAUAAGCACCGGCUAACUUCGUG